Long non-coding RNA from Puntigrus tetrazona (Sumatra barb), 820 nucleotides. RefSeq lists it as uncharacterized. The record is from RefSeq and is a predicted model, not a curated record. The transcript is spliced from 7 exons. Lineage: Eukaryota; Metazoa; Chordata; Actinopteri; Cypriniformes; Cyprinidae.
UCGCCGGACAAGUGCUGCAUUUCUUAAAUCCAGCCCCUAGAGCCUGAAGAGCCGCCCUCUCUGUCCUCGACUGCACGCCCCUAACCAACAUUAAACACAACCUCAGUACAAGUAAAAGUACACGAGUUGCAAGGUUUUCAGCUGUGUUGAAGCAGCCACUGGGUUUAAUGAGCCGGAUGUGGUCACUGAGAACCAGAGAUGUGAACAAAGAUAAUUGCUGUGGAGGUGUGGUGAAGAAAUAGGGCACAGCCGAAAGCAUCGCUGAAUUACUCCACAGUGGUUUUACUGUGAACAUUUGUAAAGAGGUGGAUGGACUGAAAGGUUUCUGCUGUUUUACGGCCUGGGGUUUGAGGCUGGAACUGUUCUGGAAUCAAAAACGUCUCUCUGUGUGAGUGUUGAGGAGGGCAUCGAGGCACGACCAGGUUCUAACUGAUAUAUAUUUCGACGAGUGAGGUCCUCGACAUAAUCAGAUGUUCCACAGCCUGCACAGAAACCCUGAAGUCCUAAUGAAGAGCACUUGUGAAUGUGAGCUGCUGUAGAGGAGUUGUUCUGCUGGACGUGUUUAAAGGACUUCAGAAGGAUAUGACAUCACAUGCUCAGGUCAAGACAGUCUGAAACACCCCAGACCUUAAAGAUACAAAUCUUGCUCUCAACAGAUGACUGUCUCCAGAUGCUCUGCACAGUCCAGGUGAGAUGAUGCCUCAUGUAAAGGACUGGCUGACUGGUUGUUGGAAUCUAUACUGACUUCUAUUGCCAUGGAUACCACAUCACAUGACCUAUUUGGAUUGUAGAAUUCCUGCCAUGCAUUAAUGAAUCAACA